This 740-nucleotide ribosomal RNA is filed under the name uncultured bacterium. RNAcentral's name for it is "bacterial SSU rRNA". It matches the Rfam family "Bacterial small subunit ribosomal RNA", at positions 8 to 796 of the family's 1533-position model. The record is from RNAcentral.
AGAGUUUGAUCCUGGCUCAGAACGAACGCUGGCGGCAGGCUUAACACAUGCAAGUCGAACGCCCCGCAAGGGGAGUGGCAGACGGGUGAGUAACGCGUGGGAAUCUACCCAAUUCUUCGGAACAACUGAGGGAAACUUCAGCUAAUACCGGAUGUGCCCUUAGGGGGAAAGAUUUAUCGGAAUUGGAUGAGCCCGCGUUGGAUUAGCUAGUUGGUGGGGUAAAGGCCUACCAAGGCGACGAUCCAUAGCUGGUCUGAGAGGAUGAUCAGCCACACUGGGACUGAGACACGGCCCAGACUCCUACGGGAGGCAGCAGUGGGGAAUAUUGGACAAUGGGCGCAAGCCUGAUCCAGCCAUGCCGCGUGAGUGAUGAAGGUCUUAGGAUUGUAAAGCUCUUUCACCGGUGAAGAUAAUGACGGUAACCGGAGAAGAAGCCCCGGCUAACUUCGUGCCAGCAGCCGCGGUAAUACGAAGGGGGCUAGCGUUGUUCGGAUUUACUGGGCGUAAAGCGCACGUAGGCGGACUAUUAAGUCAGGGGUGAAAUCCCGGGGCUCAACCCCGGAACUGCCUUUGAUACUGGUAGUCUUGAGUUCGAGAGAGGUGAGUGGAAUUCCGAGUGUAGAGGUGAAAUUCGUAGAUAUUCGGAGGAACACCAGUGGCGAAAGCGGCUCACUGGCUCGAUACUGACGCUGAGGUGCGAAAGCGUGGGGAGCAAACGGGAUUAGAUACCCUGGUAGUCC